RNAcentral lists this ribosomal RNA (134 nucleotides) under uncultured bacterium. Its description in RNAcentral is "partial 16S ribosomal RNA". It matches the Rfam family "Bacterial small subunit ribosomal RNA", at positions 372 to 524 of the family's 1533-position model. The record is from RNAcentral.
UGGGGGGCACCCUGAUCAGCCAUGCCGCGUGAGUGAUGAAGGCCUUAGGGUUGUAAAGCUCUUUCAGCUGGGAAGAUAAUGACGGUACCAGCACAAGAAGCCCCGGCUAACUCCGUGCCAGCAGCCGCGGUAAU